UACGGGGGGUGCAAGCGUUAUCCGGAUUCACUGGGUUUAAAGGGUGCGUAGGAGGGCAGGUAAGUCAGUGGUGAAAUCUCCAAGCUUAACUUGGAAACUGCCGUUGAUACUAUCUGUCUUGAAUAUUGUGGAGGUGAGCGGAAUAUGUCAUGUAGCGGUGAAAUGCUUAGAUAUGACAUAGAACACCAAUUGCGAAGGCAGCUCACUACUCAAUCAUUGACUCUGAGGCACGAAAGCGUGGGGAUCAAACAGG
This 253-nucleotide ribosomal RNA is filed under the name uncultured bacterium. Its description in RNAcentral is "partial 16S ribosomal RNA". It matches the Rfam family "Bacterial small subunit ribosomal RNA", at positions 524 to 776 of the family's 1533-position model. The record is from RNAcentral.